UGUCCGGUGGCCUAGUGGUUUGAGCGUCCGCCUCCGAUGCGGAAGGUCGUUAGUUCUAUCCCCGGUCGAGUCAU
Molecule: non-coding RNA, 74 nt
Organism: Potamilus streckersoni
Lineage: Eukaryota; Metazoa; Mollusca; Bivalvia; Unionida; Unionidae
Source: the annotation of a GenBank genome assembly